RNAcentral lists this small RNA (2715 nucleotides) under Pan troglodytes (chimpanzee). RNAcentral's name for it is "processed transcript". The record is from RNAcentral. Lineage: Eukaryota; Metazoa; Chordata; Mammalia; Primates; Hominidae.
AUAGCCUUUCUAAUUUCGGUUAAUGGUAACUCUCAUCAGUUACUCAAGCCAAAAACCUUGGAUUCAUCACAGACUCCUCUCUUUCACUAAUCUCCUCUUUCCCACAUCUAAUCCAAGAGGAAAUCCUAUUGUUGUACCUUCAUUGGCCAGGCACUGUGACUCAUAUAAUCCCAGCACAUUGGGAGGCUGAGGCGGGAGGAUGGCUUGAGCCCAGGAGUUCCAGACCAGCCUGGGAAACAUAGUGAGACCCCAUCUCUACAAAAAAUUAAAAAAAUUAGCAGUCAAGGUGGCAUGUGUCUGUAAUCCAAGCUACUUGGGAGGCUAAGGUGGGAGGAUUUCUUGAGCCCAGGAAGUCAAGGCUAAAUUGAGCCACGAUUGUGCCACUGCACUCCAGCCUGGGUGACAGAGUGAGACCCCUGUUUCCAAAAAAAAAAGAAUAAAAAUCACCUGGUCAACUCCACUAUUACCAGCCUGGUCCAAGCUACUAUCUCUCAUUUAUAUUAUUGUAAUAUCCUCCUCACUCCUCCAACAACCUGCUGUCAACCACAGCAGCCAACAUCUGAUCAUAUCACCUCUGUUUGUGGUUCUCAAAUCUCCCCAGUUGAGUUACAGUAAAAGACAAACUUGGUAAGUGCCACCUUAUCUCUAUAACUGUAUACCCUUUCUAUUGCUCACUCCAGCCAGAUGCAGUAUCUUGCCAAGCACCCUCCUGUCUCAGGGCCUUUGCACUUGCCAGUCCCUGUGCCUGGAAGGUUUCUCCCCUAGAUUUUUGCCUGACUUCUCCCUCCCUCCCUUCAGAUCUUUGCUCAAAUGCCUUCUUUUUAGUGUAUGUAAAAUGACAAACCCAUACCCAUUCCUUAUCCCCUCCUCUGAAUUUUCUCUUCAGCAAUUAUCAGCAGCAAGUGUCCCAAAGUUUCUAUUAAUUUAUUUCUAUUGUCUCUUUCUUCCCUCCACUAGAAUGUAAGCUUUAUGAGAGCAGAGACUUUUGUUUGUUCACUGCUUUAUCCUUAGCACCUAAAACAGUGCCUUACUCAUAGUUACCUCAAUAUUUAUUGCCAAAUGAAUUUCUGCUUUAUAAUCUGAUUAUAUUUUUCCACUCUCUCUUAGAGUCUAACUAGUUAUGAUGUCUGUAGCAUACUUCUUGGGACUUCUACCAUGCUUGUGUGGCUUGGAGUCAUCCGAUACCUCGGUUUCUUUGCAAAGUACAAUCUCCUCAUUUUGACCCUUCAGGCAGCACUGCCCAAUGUCAUCAGGUUCUGCUGCUGUGCAGCUAUGAUUUACUUAGGUUACUGCUUCUGUGGAUGGAUCGUGCUGGGGCCUUACCAUGACAAGUUUCGUUCUCUGAACAUGGUCUCUGAGUGCCUUUUCUCUCUGAUAAAUGGAGAUGAUAUGUUUGCCACGUUUGCAAAAAUGCAGCAAAAAAGUUACUUAGUCUGGCUGUUUAGUAGAAUUUACCUCUACUCAUUCAUCAGCCUCUUUAUAUAUAUGAUUUUAAGUCUUUUCAUUGCACUGAUCACUGAUACAUACGAAACAAUUAAGCAAUACCAACAAGAUGGCUUCCCAGAGACUGAACUUCGUACAUUUAUAUCAGAAUGCAAAGAUCUACCCAACUCUGGAAAAUACAGAUUAGAAGAUGACCCUCCAGUAUCUUUAUUCUGCUGUUGUAAAAAGUAGCUAUCAGGUUUAUCUGUACUUUAGAGGAAAAUAUAAUGUGUAGCUGAGUUAGAACACUGUGGAUAUUCUGAGAUCAGAUGUAGUAUGUUUGAAGACUGUUAUUUUGAGCUAAUUGAGACCUAUAAUUCACCAAUAACUGUUUAUAUUUUUAAAAGCAAUAUUUAAUGUCUUUGCAGCUUUAUGCUGGGCUUGUUUUUAAAACAACUUUAAUGAGGAAAGCUAUUGGAUUAUUAUUAUUUCUUGUUUAUUUUGCCAUGGCUUUAGAAUGUAUUCUGUAUGCCUCUCUUUUGCUCUGAUACUCUUGCUUCCUGCUAUUCUGAUUGUGCAGACUGUGUAAUUAGUGGAAAACAAUCCUUGGUCUGACUGUGACUUUGGACAACUCAGUAACCCUGGCUUGGACCACUCUCAGGAGUCCAUCCUUGAGAGAGUGGGUGUAGUUACCAUUUAUACAGUAAUCAUUGCAUUUUAAAAUCUGCUCUUGAAAGGAAGAAUAAGAGUGCACCAGAAUAAGAGCGCACCAGAAUAAGAGCGCACCAGCUAACAAUGUGAUACGGCCAUAUGUCACUUAAGGAUAGAGAUAUGUUCUGAGAAAUGUGUCAUUAGGCGAUUUUGUCAUUAAACAUCAUAGCAUGUACUUCCACAAACCUAGAUGGUAUAGCCUACUACACACCUAGGCUAUUUGGUAUAGCCUGUUGGUCCUGGGGUACAAAUCUGUACAACAUGUUACUGUAUUGAAUACAGUAGGCAAUUGUAACACAAUGGUAAGUAUCUAAACAUAGAAAAGGGACAGUAAAAAUAUGGUUUUAUAAUCUUCUGGGACCACCAUUGUAUAUGCGGUACAUCGUUGACCAAAACAUCGUUAUCCAGCAUAUGACUGUAUUUGGUUAUGAAAGCCAACUGUUACUUGAUUCUGCUUUUAGUUCUUAAGAGGAUCAGGUUUUUAAAUACUCAUUUACAAGUUUUCUAUCCUCCUUCAGUGUUAAAGUAGAAAGUAAAAAGAGUAUCUUAUACAUGCAUGAAAUUAAAGCAUAUACCAAAUGC